GAUGAACGCUGGCGGCGUGCUUAACACAUGCAAGUCGAACGGAGAAAGGGUAGCUUGCUAUCUUUCUUAGUGGCGGACGGGUGAGUAACGCGUGGGUAACCUGCCCUUUGCAGGGGGAUAACAGUGAGAAAUCACUGCUAAUACCGCAUACCAACUUCUUUCGCAUGAAGGAAGUUUGAAAGAUUUAUCGGCAAAGGAUGGGCCCGCGUUGGAUUAGCUAGUUGGUGAGAUAACAGCCCACCAAGGCAACGAUCCAUAGCCGGCCUGAGAGGGUGAACGGCCACACUGGGACUGAGACACGGCCCAGACUCCUACGGGAGGCAGCAGUGGGGAAUAUUGCACAAUGGGCGAAAGCCUGAUGCAGCGACGCCGCGUGAAGGAUGAAGGUCUUCGGAUUGUAAACUUCUAUCAGCAGGGAAGAAAGGGCUUAUAGCCUAUGACGGUACCUGACUAAGAAGCCCCGGCUAACUACGUG
This 475-nucleotide ribosomal RNA is filed under the name uncultured bacterium. RNAcentral's name for it is "bacterial SSU rRNA". It matches the Rfam family "Bacterial small subunit ribosomal RNA", at positions 28 to 507 of the family's 1533-position model. The record is from RNAcentral.